UGAAAUGGGAUGUGAAGGAAGUGGAGAUGGCGGGUGGAAAGCGUGGGAAGCGAGAAGCCGUGCGGGAGUGGCGAAGAAACACCGUGGCGAUUCGAAACAUUUUGAAAAGUGGGGACAAGUUAGGUUUUCGUUGUCUUUUGAUUAAAAAGAUGAGUGUGAAAAGUUGAGUGUUACCUUAUAUAGAGGCAGAGAGCUAGUUCAACAAGUGGGAUGCUCACUAGGAUUGUGGGCUGAGCCAUGGAGCAAUGAAUGUGGGCUGGGCUGCUUCUCAAGGACGCAUCAAACUCGCCAGAUUGUGGGCUGGGCCAUGAAGUAAUGAUUGUGAGCUGGGCUGCUUCUCAAGGACGCAUCAAACUCGCCAGAUUGUGGGUUGGGCCAUGGAGAAUUGAUUGUGGGCUGAGCUGCUUCUCACGGACGCAUCAAACUUGCCAGAUUGUGGGCUGGGCCAUCAAAUGAUGGCCCAUUGGGCUUCUUGGUGGAUCGCGGGUCAUAGGAGUAGGGUCAUAGGAGUAGCUUUGCGGAUCGCGGAUCAUCAUAGGAGCAGAUUGGGGAGCAAAAGAAUCAUAUAGACACAAAGGAAAAUAAAACAAGAACAACUCAAAUUCAAAAAAAAAAAAAAAAAGAGGUGGAAAGGGAAAGCUGCGGAGGGGAAAUCGGGGAAAGGGUGGGGUGAAAUCGGAAGGGAAGGAAGUUGGGCGCGGUGAAAGGGGUGGAAAGGGAGAGUUGCGGAGGGGAAGUCGGGGAAAGGGUGGGGUGAAAUGGGAAGGGAAGGAAGUGGAGCGCGGUGAAAGGGGUGGAAAGGGAGAGUUGCGGAGGAGAAGUCCGGGAAAGGGUGGGGUUAAAUGAGAAGGGAAGGAAGUGGAGCGCGGUGAAAGGGGUGGAAAGGGAGAGCUGCGGAGGGGAAAUCGGGGAAAGGGUGGGGUGAAAUGGGAAGGGAAGGAAGUUGAGCGCAGUGAAAGGGGAGAAAAGGGAGAGUUGCGGAGGGGAAGUCGGGGAAAGGGUGGGGCGAAAUGGAAAGUGAAGGAAGUGGAGAUGGCGGGUGGAAAGCGUGGGGAGCGAGAAGCCGUGCGGGAGUGGCGAAGAAACACCGUGGCGAUUCGAAACAUUUUGAAAAGUGGGGACAAGUUAGGUUUUCGUUGUCUUUUGAUUAAAAAGAUGAGUGUGAAAAGUUGAGUGUUACCUUAUAUAGAGACAGAGAGCUAGGUCAACAAGUGGAAUGCUCACUAGGAUUAUGGGCUGAGCCAUGGAGCAAUGAUUGUGGGCUGGACUGCUUCUCAAGGACGCAUCAAACUCACCAGAUUGUGGGCUGGGCCAUGAAGCAAUGAUUGUGAGCUGGGCUGCUUCUCAAAGACGCAUCAAACUCGCCAGAUUGUGGGCUGGGCCCUGAAGCAAUGAUUGUGAGCUGGACUGCUUCUCAAGGAUGCAUCAAACUCGCCAGAUUGUGGGUUGGGCCAUGGAGAAUUGAUUGUGGGCUGGGCUGCUUCUCACGGACGCAUCAAGAUUGUGGGCUGGGCCAUCAAAUGAUGGCCCAUUGGGCUUCUUGGUGGAUCGCAGGUCAUAGGAGUAGGGUCAUAGGAGUAGUUUUGCGGAUCGCGGAUCAUCAUAGGAGCAGAUUGGGGAGCAAAAGAAUCAUAUAGACACAAAGGAAAAUAAAACAAGAACAACUCAAAUUCAAAAAAAAAAACAAAAAAAGAGGUGGAAAGGGAAAGCUGCGGAGGGGAAAUCGGGGAAAGGGUGGGGUGAAAUCGGAAGGGAAGGAAGUUGGGCGCGGUGAAAGGGGUGGAAAGGGAGAGUUGCGGAGGAGAAGUCGGGGAAAGGGUGGGGUGAAAUGGGAAGGGUAGGAAGUGGAGCGCGGUGAAAGGGGUGGAAAGGGAGAGCUGCGGAGGGAAAAUCGGGGAAAUGGCGGGGUGAAAUGGGAAGGGAUAGAAGUUGAGCACAGUGAAAGGGGUGGAAAGGAAGAGUUGCGGAGGGGAAGUCGGGGAAAGGGUGGGCUGAAAUGAGAAGGGAAGGAAGUGGAGCGCGGUGAAAGGGGUGGAAAAGGAGAGUUGCAGAGGAGAAGUCAGGGAAAGGGUGGGGUGAAAUGGGAAGGAAAGGAAGUGGAGCGCGGUGAAAGGGGUGGAAAGGGAGAGCUGCGGAGGGGUAGUCGGAGAAAGGGUGGGGUUAAAUGGGAAGGAAAGGAAGUGGAGUACGGUGAAAGGGGUGGAGAGGGAGAGCUACGGAGGGGAAAUCGGGGAAAUGGUGGGGUGAAAUGGGAAGGGAAGGAAGUUGAGCGCGGUGAAAGGGGUGGAAAGGGAGAGUUGCGGAGGGGAAGUUGGGGAAAGGGUGGGGUGAAAUGGGAAGGGAAGGAAGUGGAGCGCGGUGAAAGGGGUGGAAAGGGAGAGCUGCGGAGGGGAAAUCGGGGAAAUGGUGGGGUGAAAUGGGAAGGGAAGGAAGUUGAGCGCGGUGAAAGGGGUGGAAAGGAAGAGUUGCGGAGGGGAAGUCGGAGAAAGGGUGGGGUGAAAUGAGAAGGCUAGGAAGUGGAGCGCGGUGAAAGGGGUGGAAAAGGAGAGUUGCGGAGGAGAAGUCCGGGAAAGGGUGGGGUUAAAUGGGAAGGGAAGGAAGUGGAGCGCGGUGAAAGGGGUGGAAAGGGAGAGCUGCGGAGGGGAAAUCGGGGAAAGGGUGGGGUGAAAUGGGAAGGGAAGGAAGUGGAGAUGGCGGGUGGAAAGCGUGGGGAGCGAGAAGCCGUGCGGGAGUGGCGAAGAAACACCGUGGCGAUUCGAAACAUUUUGAAAAGUGGGGACAAGUUAGGUUUUCGUUGUCUUGUGAUUAAAAAGAUGAGUGUGAAAAGUUGAGUGUUACCUUAUAUAGAGACAGAGAGCUAGGUCAACAAGUGGGAUGCUCACUAGGAUUGUGGGCUGAGCCAUGGAGCAAUGAUUGUGGGCUGGACUGUUUCUCAAGGACGCAUCAAACUCGCCAGAUUGUGGGCUGGGCCAUG
This 2974-nucleotide long non-coding RNA is filed under the name Brassica rapa (field mustard). RNAcentral describes it as "long non-coding RNA (BRAP_LNC000768)". Lineage: Eukaryota; Viridiplantae; Streptophyta; Magnoliopsida; Brassicales; Brassicaceae. The record is from RNAcentral.